RNAcentral lists this transfer RNA (72 nucleotides) under Camelus bactrianus (Bactrian camel). It matches the Rfam family "tRNA". From Rfam's summary of the family: Transfer RNA (tRNA) molecules are approximately 80 nucleotides in length. Their secondary structure includes four short double-helical elements and three loops (D, anti-codon, and T loops). RNAcentral also lists the same sequence under 2 other names. Lineage: Eukaryota; Metazoa; Chordata; Mammalia; Artiodactyla; Camelidae. The record is from Rfam by way of RNAcentral.
GAGGGUAUAGCUCAGUGGUAGAGUGCAUGCCUAGCAUGCAUGAGGUACUAGGUUCGAUCCCCAGUGCCUCCA